GCAGUCGAGCGGCAGCGACAACAUUGAACCUUCGGGGGAUUUGUUGGGCGGCGAGCGGCGGACGGGUGAGUAAUGCCUGGGAAAUUGCCCUGAUGUGGGGGAUAACCAUUGGAAACGAUGGCUAAUACCGCAUGAUAGCUUCGGCUCAAAGAGGGGGACCUUCGGGCCUCUCGCGUCAGGAUAUGCCCAGGUGGGAUUAGCUAGUUGGUGAGGUAAGGGCUCACCAAGGCGACGAUCCCUACCUGGUCUGAAAGGAUGAUCAGCCACUCUGGAACUGACACACGGUCCACACUCCUACGG
This 300-nucleotide ribosomal RNA is filed under the name Vibrio sp. Its description in RNAcentral is "bacterial SSU rRNA". It matches the Rfam family "Bacterial small subunit ribosomal RNA", at positions 60 to 344 of the family's 1533-position model. Lineage: Bacteria; Pseudomonadati; Pseudomonadota; Gammaproteobacteria; Vibrionales; Vibrionaceae. The record is from RNAcentral.